This 223-nucleotide unclassified non-coding RNA is filed under the name uncultured Tomentella. RNAcentral's name for it is "sequence contains ITS2". Lineage: Eukaryota; Fungi; Basidiomycota; Agaricomycetes; Thelephorales; Thelephoraceae. The record is from RNAcentral. RNAcentral also lists the same sequence under 1 other name.
ACACCUCAACUCAUUGUGGUUUUCCAUGAUGAGCUUGGACUUUGGGGGGUUUUGCUGGCCUAUGGUCGGCUCCUCUAAAAUGAAUCAGCUUACCAGUGUUUGGUGGGUAUCAUGGGUGUGAUAACUAUCUACGCUUAUGGUUUUUUCCACCAGGUAACCUUCAGCAGUGGAGGUUCGCUGGAGCUCAUAGAUGUCUCUCCUUGGUGAGGACAGCCCUUUGAAU